This 494-nucleotide ribosomal RNA is filed under the name uncultured bacterium. Its description in RNAcentral is "partial 16S ribosomal RNA". It matches the Rfam family "Bacterial small subunit ribosomal RNA", at positions 28 to 507 of the family's 1533-position model. The record is from RNAcentral.
GACGAACGCUGGCGGCGCGCUUAACACAUGCAAGUCGAACGGAAAGGCCUGCUUUCCCUUGUGGAUUGCGGGUACUCGAGUGGCGAACGGGUGAGUAACACGUGAGUGAUCUGCCCCCAACUUGGGUAUAAGCCUGGGAAACUGGGUCUAAUUCCCGAUAGGACUGCAGGGUGGUGCCUGUGGUGGAAAACGAUUUUCUAGUGGUUGGGGAUGAGCUCGCGGCCUAUCAGCUUGUUGGUGGGGUAAUGGCCUACCAAGGCGGCGACGGGUAGCCGGCCUGAGAGGGUGGACGGCCGCAUUGGGACUGAGAUACGGCCCAGACUCCUACGGGAGGCAGCAGUGGGGAAUAUUGCACGAUGGGCGGAAGCCUGAUGCAGCGACGCCGCGUGGGGGAUGACGGCCUUCGGGUUGUAACCUCCUUUCGACCGCGAGGAAGCCACCUGGUUGGAAGGGUGGUGACGGUAGUGGUAGAAGAAGCACCGGCUAACUACGUG